UGAUCCUGGCUCAGGAUGAACGCUAGCGGCAGGCAUAAUACAUGCAAGACGAACGGUAACUUGAGUAGCAAUACUUGAGCUAGAGUGUCGUACGGGUGCGUAACACGUAUGCAACCUACCUUUUACAGGAGUAUAGCUCCCCGAAAGGGGAAUUAACCCUCCAUAAUAUCAUUGGAUGGCAUCAUUUGAUGAUUAAAACUGAGGUGGUAAAAGAUGGGCAUGCGUCUGAUUAGUUAGUUGGCAGUGUAACGGACUACCAAGACGAUGAUCAGUAGGGGACCUGAGAGGGUGAUCCCCCACACUGGCACUGAGAUACGGGCCAGACUCCUACGGGAGGCAGCAGUAGGGAAUAUUGGACAAUGGGUGAGAGCCUGAUCCAGCCAUGCCGCGUGCAGGAAGAAGGCG
RNAcentral lists this ribosomal RNA (405 nucleotides) under uncultured bacterium. RNAcentral describes it as "bacterial SSU rRNA". It matches the Rfam family "Bacterial small subunit ribosomal RNA", at positions 14 to 416 of the family's 1533-position model. The record is from RNAcentral.